GCCUGAGUGGUGAAACUGGUAGACGCGCCAGACUCAAAAUCUGGUAAGGGUAACCUGUGUCGGUUCGAGUCCGACCUCAGGCACCA
RNAcentral lists this transfer RNA (86 nucleotides) under Campylobacter coli. RNAcentral describes it as "tRNA-Leu". It matches the Rfam family "tRNA". Rfam says of the family: Transfer RNA (tRNA) molecules are approximately 80 nucleotides in length. Lineage: Bacteria; Pseudomonadati; Campylobacterota; Epsilonproteobacteria; Campylobacterales; Campylobacteraceae. The record is from RNAcentral.